Molecule: ribosomal RNA, 253 nt
Filed under: uncultured bacterium
Lineage: Bacteria
Description: partial 16S ribosomal RNA
Rfam family: Bacterial small subunit ribosomal RNA
Source: RNAcentral
UACGUAGGGUGCGAGCGUUGUCCGGAAUUAUUGGGCGUAAAGAGCUUGUAGGCGGUUUGUCGCGUCUGCUGUGAAAAUCCGGGGCUCAACUCCGGACUUGCAGUGGGUACGGGCAGGCUAGAGUGUGGUAGGGGAGACUGGAAUUCCUGGUGUAGCGGUGGAAUGCGCAGAUAUCAGGAGGAACACCAGUGGCGAAGGCGGUGCUCUGGGCCGGAACUGACGCUGAGGAGCGAAAGCGUGGGGAGCAAACAGG